UUGAACGCUGGCGGCAUGCUUUACACAUGCAAGUCGAGCGGGGUGAGGGGGCAACUCUUCAUUCAGCGGCGGACGGGUGAGUAAUGCAUCGGAACGUAUCCCGUAGUGGGGGACAACCCAGCGAAAGCUGGGCUAAUACCGCAUAUGCUCUACGGAGGAAAGCGGGGGACCUGAGAGGGCCUCGCGCUAUGGGAGCGGCCGAUGUCCGAUUAGCUAGUUGGUGGGGUAAAGGCUUACCAAGGCGACGAUCGGUAGCUGGUCUGAGAGGAUGAUCAGCCACACUGGGACUGAGACACGGCCCAGACUCCUACGGGAGGCAGCAGUGGGGAAUUUUGGACAAUGGGGGCAACCCUGAUCCAGCCAUGCCGCGUGCGGGAAGAAGGCCUUCGGGUUGUAAACCGCUUUUGGUCGGGAAGAAAAGGUUUCUCCUAACAGGGGGGACUGUUGACGGUACCGGCAGAAUAAGCACCGGCUAACUACGU
RNAcentral lists this ribosomal RNA (482 nucleotides) under uncultured bacterium. RNAcentral describes it as "bacterial SSU rRNA". It matches the Rfam family "Bacterial small subunit ribosomal RNA", at positions 29 to 506 of the family's 1533-position model. The record is from RNAcentral.